GCGGGAUUAGCUCAGCUGGUUAGAGCACUUGUCUCUGGCAAGGUGUCAUUGGUUCGAAUCCGAUAUCCCGCU
RNAcentral lists this transfer RNA (72 nucleotides) under Candidatus Uhrbacteria bacterium. RNAcentral's name for it is "tRNA-Arg". It matches the Rfam family "tRNA". From Rfam's summary of the family: Transfer RNA (tRNA) molecules are approximately 80 nucleotides in length. The record is from RNAcentral. Lineage: Bacteria; Candidatus Uhriibacteriota.